GGCUUAGUUGGUAAAGCACAAAGCUCUUAACCUUGUGGACGUGGGUUCAAGCCCCAU
RNAcentral lists this transfer RNA (57 nucleotides) under Triticum aestivum (bread wheat). It matches the Rfam family "tRNA", at positions 9 to 63 of the family's 71-position model. Rfam says of the family: Transfer RNA (tRNA) molecules are approximately 80 nucleotides in length. Lineage: Eukaryota; Viridiplantae; Streptophyta; Magnoliopsida; Poales; Poaceae. The record is from Rfam by way of RNAcentral.